Molecule: non-coding RNA, 107 nt
Organism: Corylus avellana
Lineage: Eukaryota; Viridiplantae; Streptophyta; Magnoliopsida; Fagales; Betulaceae
Source: RefSeq, a predicted model, not a curated record
AGGUUGUGAUGUUGACACUUGAGAAGCAGCUCAAUGAAGUGCCCCCAUGCUUCAAAGAAAAGGUCUCCAUCUCUUUGUUGAAAUGUUUGAAUUUCCUUUCUAAGUUG